CAUGCAAGUCUACUUGAUCCUUCGGGUGAAGGUGGCGGACGGGUGAGUAACGCGUAAAGAACUUGCCUUACAGACUGGGACAACAUUUGGAAACGAAUGCUAAUACCGGAUAUUAUGACUGAGUCGCAUGAUUUGGUUAUGAAAGCUAUAUGCGCUGUGAGAGAGCUUUGCGUCCCAUUAGUUAGUUGGUGAGGUAACGGCUCACCAAGACGAUGAUGGGUAGCCGGCCUGAGAGGGUGAACGGCCACAAGGGGACUGAGACACGGCCCUUACUCCUACGGGAGGCAGCAGUGGGGAAUAUUGGACAAUGGACCAAAAGUCUGAUCCAGCAAUUCUGUGUGCACGAUGAAGUUUUUCGGAAUGUAAAGUGCUUUCAGUUGGGAAGAAGUCAGUGACGGUACCAACAGAAGAAGCGACGGCUAAAUACGUGCCAGCAGCCGCGGUAAUACGUAUGUCGCAAGCGUUAUCCGGAUUUAUUGGCCGAAAAGCGCGUCUAGGCGGUUUAGUAAGUCUGAUGUGAAAAUGCGGGGCUCAACCCCCGUAUUGCGUUGGAAAACUGUUAAACUAGAGUACUGGAGAGGUAGGCGGAACUACAAGUGUAGAGGUGAAAUUCGUAGAUAUUUGUAGGAAAUGCCGAUGGGGAAGCCAGCCUACUGGACAGAUACUGACGCUNAAAGCGCGAAAGCGUGGGUAGCAAACAGGAUUAGAUACCCUGGUAGUCCACGCCGUAAACGAUGAUUACUAGGUGUUGGGGGUCGAACCUCAGCGCCCAAGCUAACGCGAUAAGUAAUCCGCCUGGGGAGUACGUACGCAAGUAUGAAACUCAAAGGAAUUGACGGGGACCCCGCACAAGCGGUGGAGCAUGUGGUUUAAUUCAACCCAACCCGAGGAACCUUACCAGCGUUUGACAUCCCAAGAAGUUAACAGAGAUGUUUUCGUGCCUCUUCGAAGGAACUUGGUGACAGGUGGUGCAUGGCUGUCGUCAGCUCGUGUCGUGAGAUGUUGGGUUAAGUCCCGCAACGAGCGCAACCCCUUUCGUAUGUUACCAUCAUUAAGUUGGGGACUCAUGCGAGACUGCCUGCGAUGAGCAGGAGGAAGGUGGGGAUGACGUCAAGUCAUCAUGCCCCUUAUACGCUGGGCUACACACGUGCUACAAUGGGUAGUACAGAGAGCUGCAAACCUGCGAGGGUAAGCUAAUCUCAUAAAACUAUUCUUAGUUCGGAUUGUACUCUGCAACUCGAGUACAUGAAGUUGGAAUCGCUAGUAAUCGCAAAUCAGCUAUGUUGCGGUGAAUACGUUCUCGGGUCUUGUACACACCGCCCGUCACACCACGAGAGUUGGUUGCACCUGAAGUAACAGGCCUAACCGUAAGGAGGGAUUCCCAGGGUGU
This 1390-nucleotide ribosomal RNA is filed under the name bacterium NLAE-zl-P422. RNAcentral describes it as "16S ribosomal RNA". It matches the Rfam family "Bacterial small subunit ribosomal RNA". The record is from RNAcentral.